RNAcentral lists this ribosomal RNA (448 nucleotides) under uncultured bacterium. RNAcentral describes it as "bacterial SSU rRNA". It matches the Rfam family "Bacterial small subunit ribosomal RNA", at positions 328 to 793 of the family's 1533-position model. The record is from RNAcentral.
UGGCCAGACUCCUACGGGAGGCAGCAGUGGGGAAUAUUGCACAAUGGGGGGAACCCUGAUGCAGCGACGCCGCGUGAGUGAAGAAGUAUUUCGGUAUGUAAAGCUCUAUCAGCAGGGAAGAAAAUGACGGUACCUGAUUAAGAAGCCCCGACUAACUACGUGCCAGCAGCCGCGGUAAUACGUAGGGGGCAAGCGUUAUCCGGAUUUACUGGGUGUAAAGGGAGCGUAGACGGCAGCGCAAGUCUGAAGUGAAAUGCCGGGGCUUAACCCCGGAACUGCUUUGGAAACUGUGCAGCUAGAGUGCAGGAGAGGUAAGUGGAAUUCCUAGUGUAGCGGUGAAAUGCGUAGAUAUUAGGAGGAACACCAGUGGCGAAGGCGGCCUGCUGGACCGCGACUGACGUUGAGGCUCGAAAGCGUGGGGAGCGAACAGGAUUAGAUACCCUGGUAU